Molecule: long non-coding RNA, 5460 nt
Organism: Phyllostomus discolor (pale spear-nosed bat)
Lineage: Eukaryota; Metazoa; Chordata; Mammalia; Chiroptera; Phyllostomidae
Exons: 2
Source: RefSeq, a predicted model, not a curated record
UCUGGAGGGAACCCCCCAGCAGUCGAGAGGACAUCUCCAUGGGGCAAGGCUAGUCUGAACUGUGAGCUUCUGGGGAUUUAGCAGAAAGAGAAGUUUCAAAGUAAACCUCUAGAAUCCAGUCCUCAGGAGGCUAUAAAGGCCUCCUGUUUCAAAAUAGAAUCAGAGACACUGAAAUUAAGAAGAGACUGCCAGUAUCUAGAGUGGGGGUCGUAGGGGAUAAUGAAGGGUAAAUGGGGAAUGGUUUUUAGCAACAUGCAUAAGGUACACAAGGACUAAACCAAAGGGGGCUAGGAUGAAAGGUGGGAAAUGGGGAUGGCCAGAAUGUCGGGGGAUAGUGGAAGGAAAAUUGAGACAACUGUACUUGAAAAACAAUUUUAAAAAGUGAAAAAAUGUUCCCGCUUCAGUAUGGAGAGCAGAGGAGGUGGCCUUGAGUACACUUCCCAGCACAGGGAAAGGGGAAUCUCCACACUUGCAGACAGACAUCAGCCAGAUGGCAGAGCAGACAUGAAAUGGCUGCCACAGGGAAGUCGAAGCCAUCAAGGGCCCUGAGCAGCUUCUUGGGGCGGCAAGUCUCAAGGAACAGGUCAGGAAAGGGGGAACACGAAGCUCUGCAUUUAGGAACUGCCCCCCACUCUCCUCCACAGAAGUGUAAGGACAGACCUUGGCCAUGGAAUGGUGUGGACUUGACAAGCCCCACUGCCAUCCUAAAGGGACCUUUCAGACCCACAGUUUCAACACUGUGGGACUCCACUGAGGCCACUUUUUGCCUGAGGAAAGAACAGUGUGGUCAACAGUAUCAAGCCCUGUGGUUAUUCCUAUCCUUGGAAUUCCCCGCUCGGAUUUUCUAUAAUACUUUCCCUCUCUCCACCUUCCUCCUUACUUUAUCCCUACAUCCUGACUCAUCCUCUCCAGGUUCUUGUGGGGUCUCCACAGUCAAGAACCUUCUACCACUUGAUCUCACAUCCACUGCAUGUGUCUGGAUUGUUCUGGCUGCACAUACUUCAAACUCUUUUUUGUCCCUCAACACCCACAUCUUCACUCUCUGCAUCUUCUAGCUUAAUCUGGUUUCCCCAGCCCAGGACUUUUAGGCUUGGACACCCUACCCCAAACCACAAGCCCCAAAAUACAUGCUAUACUCUCCACUUUUCCUAGAUUUUGACCCACUGUUGCCAACCCUCUUCCUAUUUUUAUGUUAAUCUUGGUUCUGAACAAUCCAAGGUCUUUUCACCAUCCAGCCCUACCCUGACCCCUCACCUUGCACAGGCAUUUUCUUCAGCCUUCCUACAGGAUCUCCAUAAGUUCUUCUUAUAAAUGUAAACAUCUGCUUUCAUGAAAAAUUGGCUGCAGUGUGACUGGAAUUUGGAGGUCAACAUUGCCUUUCUGACCCAGGAAGAGAAGGACUGCAAUCACCAGACCCAGACCCAACUUCCAGCAACUGUGCAGUCUCAGUCAUUGAAGAACUGAAACUGCGAAGCCUGCCCCAGCUCCAAAAACUGUCUUUGACGUGUCUUUCUGUCACCUCCACCAGCUUGUCAUCAGCCAUUUCCCCCCAUGGCAGUUCAGGAAACCUCUUUUGGCACCAAACAAUAACGCUUCACCCACAUCCUGCUUUUAAAGUUUGCUUCUGCUUUUGUUAUUUUUUAACCUUCCUGAGGACAUUUUGGCCCUGCAUUUUAGACAGAGAGGAAGGCAGAAAGGAAAGAAAAGAAAGAAACAUUGAUGUGAAAGAGUAACACUGAUGGGUUGCCUUCCAUAUGCACCUGGAUCAAGAAUCACGAGCACGGGAACAGGCUAUCCAACCAACAACCUUUCAGUAUGAGGACAAGGCUCCUACCAACUGAUCCAGGGAAACUUACUUCCUUUUUUGGAAUUGGCUCUGACACUCAGCUCAAUCUUUCUGUCUCCCCAGAGACCUCAUGUCAUUCUCCAUUCUUUGCUCAGCCUAUAAAUUUCAAGCCUUAGUGGGAUCUGAAUUCCCCUCUUCACCUUGUCCUUGCUGCUCUAUCCCAUUUGGCCUGUCCAUCAGGACCACCAGCCUGAGUUCUGAGCUUCUUUCUCUACCCCUAGAAGCAGCGGUUUUUAACACAUGUUCCAAGGCACACUGCAAUGCCACAAUGGUCUUGGAGUCAAUUACAAGGCCAAAUAUGCUUUUCCAAUUUUGACCAGGCUACAUGUGUGAGAAGAUCUCUAACAUUCCCAGGUAAUUUGGACAUCCACUCAUCUGGAGAUAAACUUGGGUUCUCAUGAAGAUAGCAUUUGGAUGAGAGAAAGCAUUCCACUGCAACUCUUUGCAGAGUAUCCAAAAACUUCAACGUGAACUGAUGAGUCACUGAAUUCUUUUUCAUGUUUUGAGUCAAGGGGAAACAGAAGAAGAAAUGAAAUAAAGAAAACCAUGGAGGUAGGAGCUCCAAAAUCAUUAAGCAGCCUGUUCAAGAAAGAGUGAAGACAGUUGCCCCAUCAACCACUUUGACUUCAUAUUUUAUGAAUUGGAUGGAAUGUUGCAGUGAGGCAAGUGACUUUGCUUUGAAAUAUGUCAGCUAAUAUCUAGAGCAUCAAACAAGCAGUCUGCUUCCACAUCAGAUCAAACAAAGAUGUAGUGAACGGUGCCAAACACACCAGAAACUCUGGUGUGAAACUGGCCCACAGCUGGAAUUUGCUGAAGAACUUCAAAAGUAUGAACGUUUUUUGGUGAAAGGUGAAGAACUGCUGUUCACACAUAAACUGCCUUCAAGAAAAUGAAAGGUGUCAAAGAGAUUCUGACAAGAUUUCCGAUUAUGGAGGAGAUUUUGUUUCCCACCAGCCACAAGAUGCAGAAUUCAAGCCCUCCCCUGAAGUUCUUAAGAAGAAAUAAAACACAAAGAAAGCAAGAACUUAAGGUCUUUUAUUUGACAUAUUCAAAGAAUUUCACAAUAAUUUGAAGAACAAUAGAAAGAAACAUGGACACAGACAACAGUGUGCUGACUGACUGUCAAAGAAAAUGUGGAUCGCGGAGGCAGAAAGUAUGUACAGUGGGGACAAAUAUUUAGGGAGGGAUACUUUCCUUGGAAUGAUAGACACACAAUAACACAUACAGGGGACAGAUUGCAGAGUAGUCUACCUGAAACCUGUAGUAUUAUAUUAACCGACAUCACCUCAUUCAAUCAAUGAAUUCCAUUCAAAAAAUUAAAUACAUACAUUAAUAAACAAAAUUUAAAAAACAAAUAUAUGUUUCUUGAUAAAUUGUAAAUAUAUUGGCAAAGGAAUGAUUUUGAACCUGUGCUCUGAGGCUCACUUGAGUGCCUCUUAAACUUUUGAUUCUUGUUAGCAUACUGAUUCUGGUCUCAAGAGGUAUGAUAAAAAUUUUUGACUAGUAUCGAUUGGCUUUAUUUAAUUUGUUUAUUUCUUUCAUGUGUCUGUAUUUUUGGUCUAGACUGUGUCUUCAGUGUGUUUUCUGCUUUGAAGCCCCUGGUUGACCACUCAUGGCACCUUGCAGAAGAAGGGGCAUACGAGGUUUUAAAGUCAGUCAGGAUUGAUGGAUGGUGAAGCAGAGACUGUUCUGUGAUAUGGCUGAUGCCUGUCCCCCAGGCUAGAUCUUGGCCAAUACAUACAUUGUUCCCAUAAAUUCCCUAGGAGUCUUUCUGCUUUACCUCCCCCUUAUUCUCAAAAGCAUGUUGACUCUUGUAACAGGCUGGCUCCUUGCAAAGAAAUAACAUGAAAAAUUUGUUCUUUUUAUCUGGGUUGGGUCUCAAAGCAAUACCCCUAUCCACACUUCCCUGUUCUACAUAAUUCUUAAGUUUCCGCUAAACUGAUAGAAUUCUGGAGUUGUCAACUUCAUUGUGUGGUCUAUCAAGCCCAGGAAAUUUUACCAACAAUUUGUAUUCAGGACUCUUUGGAUCCCAUCCGAGCUCAUGUUAACAACACAACUCAGAAUGGGAACUGGUCACUUAAAAUAUGAACCAUGUGGUUAAUAGAUUAGGCUUUCAGCAGACCUGACAUCCAGAUAAACAAGUGAAAAUACAGACCAAAUUCAAUACCAUUGCCCAUGUCAGUCACAACUGCCUAUGAAAUUAAACCCAAUGAACAUUCUGGACACUAGUGAUCAGGUGAGCUUUUGGUUGUUAAAACCUUCAAUGUGGCUGAGCAUGGUGUGUCCUGCCUCCUUUAAGAGAAGACAUUGGCUGAUUCACUAGUGGAAUUCUCAAUGACAUAGCUCUAUAUGUCUCUCUUUUUGUUAGUUCCAAAUUGUAUUACAUUGCUGUGAUAUAACUAUAAUCAUAAAUAUGGAAUUUUGUCGAGCUCUAUGAGUCAUUUUGGCAAAAUACUCAACCCACUGGGGUUGUGGAAAGACCUGAAGUAGUUCAUUGGACAAAAGUCUGGGUGGCCUUGGAACUCCACAUGUGUAGCUAGUGUUGAUGUCAGGAGAGUCUUAUGAAGGAAGUUUCUUUUAGCCACUGGGUAUUGUGCUAACUCUGAUGGUGAGCCUCAGAACUCAAGUGCAGGGCACUCUUACAGUGAUAUUGAGAAUCAUAAACUUCAGAAAAGGGGACAUACUGAGAUGCAUCUCCUAUAUUAGUUGGAAACCCUAAACCCAAGUAAGAGCCUCAGGUGUGCUGUUGAGGUCCAACUGGUGAAGAAACUGUGUCACUGAAAUGCACGUGGUGGAUAUCCUCAAGAGAUCAGAACUGAAAACAGGAGGUCCUGUUACAGAACAAAACUUUGUAGUAGCAACAAGGGCGAUAGAAUCUGAGAAUUACAGAGGCCAGCACGUAGCCAUCAAAAGCAUUGUGGGAGUAAUAACCCUAAUAAGCUGCACUAUCAGAGUGCAAGCUAGUGUGCAAAGAUGUAACAGACAGCUCUUAACAUAGUGCCUUUAGAAACAAAAGCUAUGAAAGGUCAAUGAUGGUGUCACUAAUAGACUUAACAGAGAGAUAAAGGAGCAAAGAUCCGGGGGAAUUCCUACAGACGUUCAGAUCAUGAUGGUGGAGCAGGAAAAUACUGUGCUCUCCUCCUCCUACAACCAUAUCACAACAACAAGUAAAUUAUAGAGCAAUAAACCUAAAAGCCAUCUGAAGACUAGUUGACAAAAACUAUAAUAUAACUAUGGAUAUAAAAAAGUAACCAGGACUAGACUGAUAAGACUAAUGAAAACAUAAAACAGGAUGGUCCCAAAGCCAUGUGUGGUGGUUGAGAAUCAGGAAAAAUAUCUUGGCUGCAGAAGUCCUCUAGGGAGUGAAUGAUCCUAGCCCCAUAGAAAGCUCUCCUGCCUAAGGCCCCAGUACAAGGAAUAGGAGUCCCCACAGCAGCUGGCUGUGGAAACUGGUGGGGAUUCUGUCCCAGUGAAGUGCGGGGCUGUUGGAAACACAUGUGUCCUCUCAAAGGACCCACACAUAGACAGUUGCUCACAGACACUCACUCUAAGUUCCAGCAAAGGGACAGCAGCCCAUAAAGAACCAGAGAAAUUAGGAAAAAACCUGAGCUGGG